UGGGGAAUAUUGGACAAUGGGCGCAAGCCUGAUCCAGCAACGCCGCGUGGAGGAUGAAGGUCUUCGGAUCGUAAACUCCUGUCAGACGGGACGAAGGUACGUCGGCAAAUAGUCGACGUGCUUGACGGUACCGUCAGAGGAAGCCCCGGCUAACUCCGUGCCAGCAGCCGCGGUAAUACGGAGGGGGCGAGCGUUAUUCGGAAUUAUUGGGCGUAAAGGGCGCGUAGGCGGCUUGGUAAGUCAAAGGUGAAAUCCCUCGGCUCAACCGAGGAAUUGCCUUUGAAACUGCCUGGCUUGAGGCCGGGAGGGGGUAGCGGAAUUCCCAGUGUAGCGGUGAAAUGCGUAGAUACUGGGAGGAACACCGGUGGCGAAGGCGGCUACCUGGACCGGUUCUGACGCUGAUGCGCGAAAGCGUGGGGAGCAAACAGG
This 429-nucleotide ribosomal RNA is filed under the name uncultured bacterium. RNAcentral describes it as "bacterial SSU rRNA". It matches the Rfam family "Bacterial small subunit ribosomal RNA", at positions 355 to 776 of the family's 1533-position model. The record is from RNAcentral.